GCGGCUGUAGUAUAAUGGUUAGUAUUCCGCCUUGCCAAGGCGGUAGUUCGGGUUCGAAUCCCGGCAGCCGCA
RNAcentral lists this transfer RNA (72 nucleotides) under Candidatus Woesearchaeota archaeon. RNAcentral describes it as "tRNA-Gly". It matches the Rfam family "tRNA". Rfam says of the family: Transfer RNA (tRNA) molecules are approximately 80 nucleotides in length. Their secondary structure includes four short double-helical elements and three loops (D, anti-codon, and T loops). Further hydrogen bonds mediate the characteristic L-shaped molecular structure. tRNAs have two regions of fundamental functional importance: the anti-codon, which is responsible for specific mRNA codon recognition, and the 3' end, to which the tRNAs corresponding amino acid is attached (by aminoacyl-tRNA synthetases). tRNAs cope with the degeneracy of the genetic code in two manners: having more than one tRNA (with a specific anti-codon) for a particular amino acid; and 'wobble' base-pairing, i.e. permitting non-standard base-pairing at the 3rd anti-codon position. The record is from RNAcentral. Lineage: Archaea; Nanobdellati; Candidatus Woesearchaeota.